Molecule: long non-coding RNA, 295 nt
Organism: Uranotaenia lowii
Lineage: Eukaryota; Metazoa; Arthropoda; Insecta; Diptera; Culicidae
Exons: 3
Source: RefSeq, a predicted model, not a curated record
UGAGUCUUGUCACGUUUCGUCCAUACAGAGCUUGUUCUUUCUGCCUGUGAACGUUCUAGAUAACGGAAGUGCGCGUCGUGUAAUUAUAGAAGCAAGGAAAAGUCAAGCCUUACAAAAAUUAGAAGUUAAAAUCCUAUUUAAAAGGGCUAACGUUAAACUAAAAGUACGAUAAAAAAGUGGUUAAAAACACACCGACCACAUUGAGUGUACAACAAAAUUCUACAGAAACACUACGUUAAAAAGGUAAAUUAUUAUAAGAAAACCAUAACAUAAAAUGUAAAACACGUGCACAUUA